GAUCCUGGCUCAGGAUGAACGCUGGCGGCGUGCCUAACACAUGCAAGUCGAGCGAAGCACUUUGCUUAGAUUCUUCGGAUGAAGAGGAUUGUGACUUAGCGGCGGACGGGCGAGUAACGCGUGGGUAACCUGCCUCAUACAGGGGGAUAACAGUUAGAAAUGACUGCUAAUACCGCAUAAGACCACAGCACCGCAUGGUGAGGGGGUAAAAACUCCGGUGGUAUGAGAUGGACCCGCG
Molecule: ribosomal RNA, 238 nt
Filed under: uncultured bacterium
Lineage: Bacteria
Description: partial 16S ribosomal RNA
Rfam family: Bacterial small subunit ribosomal RNA
Source: RNAcentral